AAUAGAUACCCGGGUAGUCCACGCCGUAAACGAUGAGUGCUAAGUGUUAGAGGGUUUCCGCCCUUUAGUGCUGAAGUUAACGCAUUAAGCACUCCGCCUGGGGAGUACGGCCGCAAGGCUGAAACUCAAAGGAAUUGACGGGGGGCCCGCACGAAGCGGUGGAGCAUGUGGUUUAAUUCGAAGCAACGCGAAGAACCUUACCAGGUCUUGACAUCCUCUGACAACCCUAGAGAUAGGGCUUCUCCUUCGGGAGCAGAGUGACAGGUGGUGCAUGGUUGUCGUCAGCUCGUGUCGUGAGAUGUUGGGUUAAGUCCCGCAACGGAGCGCAACCCUUGAUCUUAGUUGCCAUCAUUAAGUUGGGCACUCUAAGGUGACUGCCGGUGACAAACCGGAGGAAGGUGGGGAUGGACGUCGAAAUCAUCAUGCCCCUUAUGACCUGGGUCUACACACGUGCUACAAUGGACGGUACAAAGAGCUGCAAGACCGCGAGGUGGAGCUAAUCUCAUAAAACCGUUCUCAGUUCGGAUUGUAGGCUGCUAAC
This 541-nucleotide ribosomal RNA is filed under the name uncultured bacterium. RNAcentral's name for it is "bacterial SSU rRNA". It matches the Rfam family "Bacterial small subunit ribosomal RNA", at positions 777 to 1312 of the family's 1533-position model. The record is from RNAcentral.